Molecule: transfer-messenger RNA, 381 nt
Filed under: Terriglobia bacterium
Lineage: Bacteria; Pseudomonadati; Acidobacteriota; Terriglobia
Rfam family: transfer-messenger RNA
About the family: Bacterial tmRNA, also known as 10Sa RNA or SsrA, is named for its dual tRNA and mRNA-like properties. Its role is to liberate the mRNA from a stalled ribosome.
Source: RNAcentral
GGGGGUGAAUUGGUUUCGACAGAAGCCGUAGCUCUCCGAAUGCGUACCGAGGGGCAGUGCCCUCGUAAAUAUCGCUGCAAACCAUAGCUGCCAACGACAGCUCCUUCGCUCAGGCCCUCGCGGCCUAAGCCUCCCGGUGAUUCCUAGCCUGCGUGGGUCACCGAGAGCCAGUUGAUGCAGGUCCGCGGUUCAUCAGAACGACCGGUGGGACGUUCCGCGAGAUUCGCCGGCGGGAGGAGCCACUCUCCCCUCAAGUAAGGCUGGUGCAGCACUGCUUCCUGGCUCCUUGGAUCGGCCGCACGAGACUAAAACGGAGAUACGUACGUAGAUUUCGAGCGUGAACACUUUUGGACGAGGGUUCGAUCCCCUCCACCUCCAUCA